GGAUGUGAGGGUGAUCUGGCUGUGACAUCUGUCAUCCCAUUAAUUGCCAGGGUUGAUUCAACUGAUCUGGCUGGCUAGACGGGUGUCCCUUUCCUCCCUCACCAGUCCAUGUGUGUCCCUCCCUAAGCUGCUCUCUGGGUCAAAAAGGGCCCCUUCCCCACUAGAGGAGGACCAUUCUUUGGUCAAGGGUAUAUGAGUAGCUGUGCUCCCCUGCUAGAAUCUCCAAACAAACUCUCAAAAAUACUUGAUGAAAUUUUUAUUGAGAUUGUGUUGAAUCUGUAGAUCAAAUUAAAGAGAUUU
RNAcentral lists this small nuclear RNA (300 nucleotides) under Dasypus novemcinctus (nine-banded armadillo). RNAcentral describes it as "7SK RNA (ENSDNOG00000033899.1)". It matches the Rfam family "7SK RNA". Rfam says of the family: 7SK was discovered as an abundant small nuclear RNA in the mid-70s but a possible function has only recently been suggested. Two independent studies have found that 7SK RNA binds the CDK9/cyclin T complex (known as elongation factor P-TEFb). The record is from RNAcentral. Lineage: Eukaryota; Metazoa; Chordata; Mammalia; Cingulata; Dasypodidae.